GGGUGAAUCUUCCACAAUGGACGAAAGUCUGAUGGAGCAACGCCGCGUGAGUGAUGAAGGUUUUCGGAUCGUAAAACUCUGUUGUAAGGGAAGAACACGUACGAGAGGAAAUGCUCGUACCUUGACGGUACCUUACGAGAAAGCCACGGCUAACUACGUGCCAGCAGCCGCGGUAAAUAAAAAAA
This 185-nucleotide ribosomal RNA is filed under the name uncultured Exiguobacterium sp. RNAcentral's name for it is "partial 16S ribosomal RNA". It matches the Rfam family "Bacterial small subunit ribosomal RNA", at positions 355 to 532 of the family's 1533-position model. Lineage: Bacteria; Bacillati; Bacillota; Bacilli; Caryophanales. The record is from RNAcentral.